RNAcentral lists this ribosomal RNA (480 nucleotides) under Blastocystis sp. RNAcentral's name for it is "SSU rRNA". It matches the Rfam family "Eukaryotic small subunit ribosomal RNA", at positions 460 to 953 of the family's 1831-position model. The record is from RNAcentral. Lineage: Eukaryota; Bigyra; Opalinata; Blastocystidae.
GGAGGUAGUGACAAUAAAUCACAAUGCGGGACUAUACGUCUUGCAAUUGGAUUGAGAACAAUGUACAACUCUUAUCGAUAAGCCAUUGGAGGGCAAGUCUGGUGCCAGCAGCCGCGGUAAUUCCAGCUCCAAUAGCGUAUAUUAACGUUGUUGCAGUUAAAAAGCUCGUAGUUGAAGUGUGGGUGAUCGCUGUUGUGAGACUUCGGUCUCUCGACAGUAAGUCACCCCCUUCCAGUAUCCAGUAGUGGGUAUUCAGUUACUUACUAUUGUGUGUUGGUCAUUUACUGUGAGAAAAUUGGAGUGUUCAAAGCAGGCGUUUGCUUGAAUAGAUUAGCAUGGAAUAAUAAUUGAAGGCUUUCGUGUUCGAUUUGAUUGGUUUGUUCAUGGAAGCAAGGUUAAAAGGAACAGUUGGGGGUAUUCAUAUUCACUAGUUAGAGGUGAAAUUCUCGGAUUUAUGGAAGAUGAACAAGUGCGAAAGCA